Molecule: non-coding RNA, 4265 nt
Organism: Amborella trichopoda
Lineage: Eukaryota; Viridiplantae; Streptophyta; Magnoliopsida; Amborellales; Amborellaceae
Source: RefSeq, a predicted model, not a curated record
ACGCGUAAUGAACGGAGUUUACGGGGUCCUGAGUAGUUGGUAUUAGAGGAACGGAUAUUUUAUACGGGAAACGGAAGGAAGAAUAACAAUGGGUUGGUACAUCAAACGAAGGACAUGUUUGGGAAACUGUAACGAAAAGGAGCCCAUAAGCACUAACUUCACCAACUGAUGGAGGCCUGGAGAUGAACCCACUGAAGUGUUUGUUUGCUAAAAUUUCACAUUCUUGAAUAAUCUGCCUCGACUCAAAAAAGAAAGGUAUUGAUAAAACCGAUACGGCUUGGAUGCUAACCCAAUCUUGUUGAGCAAGUCCCAAUUUCACACUCUUGCAUAAUCUGCCCCGGCUCAGAAAAGAAAGGUCUUGAGACGAAUACGGCUUCGAAGCUAACCCAAUCUUGUUGAGCUAGUCCCAAUUGGACUGGGCCUAUUAGUUAGAGCGAAGGUCACAGGUUGAAAAUGCGGAAUGGCUACAAUAUUCCCUCCCUGAUUGGAUUACAAAAAAACGCUAUGCCGAAUAAUUUCUUGUUAGUUGGAAAUAUGAAGAAGGAACAUAUUCUCUAGAAUGGAAUCAAUGAGGAUGCCGCCAUCAGGUGAGUUUGGAUGGUGCGCAUGAAGUGCAACUCCACCAGCCCUUUCUCUGAUACCGGCAAAAGCUUCUUGCAGCGUUCUCCCCAAAUCGUGAAGAAGGCUGAUUUAAGGUGCAAUGUUAGCUGAUCCAUUAUGUAUUAUCAUGCUGCACCAAGCGGCCCGAAACAACGUAACAUGCAUGUAAAGCUGGCAAUUAAGUUGGGUGGGCAACGAGGGAUUAGUGAAACUAGUGUGAGCUCCUAUAGUAGGGAUCCUCUGUGAGGCUUUAGUUGUGCUUCGUACAAGUAUGAUGUGGCUAUUUUAUCUGCUCUCCCCAAUCUCGGCUAAAGCAUUUAUGGUAUUUCUCUAUAUUCAAGGUCACAGUGAAUAAUUGCCUUCAUUUAAGGUAAUUAGUGGGUUGCAUGUCUGUAAUUAAUGCGUUCCUUUAACAAUAUUCUUUUUGUGCAUGAUGCAUGCCUAAUGAUGAUCUUUCAGUUUGCAAAAGUAGGCUUAUUAUUUGCUUUAAGACUUUCGUCUUUAUUGUUUUUUGUCUUGUCAUUCUAUUAUCUCAGUUGUCUCGACUUCUUUGUCUGGAAUUUUUCUCUAAUUGAUAGUGCCUACUCUGAUAUGGCCGUCUAUUCCUGAGGCCUGCUCAUCUCUAAUUGCUUGAGCCAGCCUUGUAUUAUAUUUCCUCGGUACUUGUGUAUCAAGUAAUCUGAGUAUGCACCAAAAGAACUUGAAGAAUCCAACCGCUCCUUUUCAUAACUUAGUAUUUAAACUCUAACUUAUCUCUUUCAUAGCAUCUUGAGUUUAAGGGAUUGUGAAAAGAAAAUUUAUAUUGUAUAUCUGGUUAAUAUUGAAGCUGUGUAUUGUAAUUACUAAAUAUGAGAAGAGUAGGUACAAUAUCUUGUAUUUAAUGGUAAGUUUGACUAGAAUUUAGGACUCUGUGAUUUAUUUCUUUAUUUUUUCAUCUGCAAUUUGUCAUAAAAGAUAAGUCUAUAUAUUCCUACAAUCAAUGAAAAUAGGGAGUCUCUUCCGAGAAAUAUGAGGCUCUUCAAACAAGGGAUGUCAUUCAAAUCAAUUUGUUCCUAUCAAGGGUCCUACUCCGAGUAUUGGGCAUAAGGCAUGGCGUUUGGGAAGUAAUUUAUUUUAGAUUAUUUCAAUAUUUUAUUUCAAAUGAUGUUGUUUUGCAGCAUUUUAUUUCUUUAGAACCUGCAAUGGCGUGUGAUUUCAUUCUUGCUCUAUGUUUAUGCCUAUCCCAUCCCAAUCAAACAAUGAAAAAAUUUUACUUGAAGAUGUUUAUAUUCCCUUUUCUAGGUUACCUACCUAGCUAGGAUUAUAGAAAAUUAGUAUUUGAUUCAUUUACUAAUGAUAAUGAAUUAUUAUUUCCCGUCGUAUUUCUUGUUUAAUAUUUAAAUUGAACAAUUAUGGCCGGCUGGCGUCUUCAUGUAUGGUUGACAUGUUCAUAAAUGGUGCAAAGAAUAUGUCCACCGAACGCGUAAGGAACGGAGUUUACGGGGUCCUGAGUUGUUGGUAUUAGAGGAACGAAUAUUUUAUACGGGAAACGGAAGGAAGAUUGACAAUGGGUUGGUACAUCAAACGGAGGACGUGUUUGGGAAACUGUAAGGAAAAGUAGCCCAUAAGCACUAACUUCACCAUCUGAUGGAGGCCUGGAGAUGAACCCACUGAAGUGUUCGUUUGCUAAAACUUCUCAUUCUUGAAUAAAUCUGCUUCGACUCAGAAAAGAAAGGUCUUGAUGAAACCCAUACGGCUUGGACGCUAACCCAAUCUUGUUGAGCAAGUCCCAAUUUCACACUCUUGCAUAAUCUGCUCCGACUCAGAAAAGAAAGGUCUCGAGACUAAUACGGCUUCGACGCCAACCCAAUUUUGUUGGACUGGGCCUAUUCGUUAGAGCGAAGGUCGCAGGUUGAAAAUGCGAAGUGGCUACAAUAUUCCCUCCCUGACUGGAUUACAAAAAAACGGUACCAAUUCGAAUAACUCUUUUUAAGGUAUGCGACGGGCACGCAUAGUAGUAGCGCCCAAAUGCAAAUUUAAUGAAAUAUCGUAUAUCUUUCAGCUAUGGCCGAAUAAUUUCUUGUUAGUUGGAAAUACGAAGAAGGAACAUAUUCUCUAUAAUGGAAUCAUUGAGGAUGCCGCCAUCGGGUGAGUUUGGAUGGUGCGCAGGAAGUGCAACUCCACUAGCCUUUUCUCUGAUACCGGCAAAAGCUUCUUGCAGCGUUCUCCCCAAAUCGUGAAGAAGGCUGAUUUAAGGUGCAAUGUUAGCUGAGCCAUUAUGUAUUAUUGUGCUGCACCAAACGGCCCGAAGCAAAGUAACAUGCAUGUAAAGCUGGCCAAUAAUUUGGGUGGGCAACGAGGGAUUAGUGAAACUAGUGUGAGCUCCUAUAGUAGGGAUCCUCUGUGAGGCUUUAGUUGUGCUUCCUGCAAAUAUGAUGUGGCUAUUUUAUCUGCUCUCCCCAAUCUCGGCUAAAGCAUUUAUGGUAUUUCUCUAUAUUCAAGGUCAAAGUGAAUAAUUGCCUUCAUUUAAGGUAACUAGUGGGUUGCAUGUCUGUAAUUAAUGCGUUCCUUUAACAAUAUUCUUUUUGUGCAUGAUGCAUGCCUAAUGAUGAUCUUUCAGUUUGCAAAAGGAGGCUUAUUAUUUGCUUUAAGACCACCGUCUUUAUUGUUUUUUGUGUUGUGAGUUCAUGCAAACGAGAAGAUAAGUUCGUUGCUUCAUAAUUAUGUACAUAUGACUAUAAUAUUGUUAUUUUGAGUUCUUGAAGUUUAAAUGCGGUUGAAACUCAUAGUAUUAGCUAUGUUUUGUGUUCUAUGUUCACUGGUUUCUGCUACUUGAAUACAAGCAUCACACCUCGAUGCCAGUUGUGAUGUUAUGUUGCCUAUUAAUAGAAUAUAUUUUAAUUCGAUUUUUAUUUAAUGAUGUUUGGGAAUUAUCCCACAUUGAAAGAUGGAUAUUCAACUUUGCUAUAUAAAUAGCUAUAUAAUAUGAUGUGAAGCAUACGUGCGGAAUCAUAGAGGUACCCCUAUAUGUAAUAUGUGCCACGUGAUUUUGUCGCACGUGUACACGUGAUGCUGCGCGAGUGAUGUCUUUAGACACAGGCGGUUUCGUGUAUUAUGCGAGAAUCGGUGCCCUACUUCGACUCGUCGACCCAAUAAUAUCCAUACACAGCAAACUGCAAAGUUUUUAUAGCUCACCAUGAUUCUUCAACCAGGAAGCUUUUAUAGCUCACCAUGAUUGUUCAACCGGGAAGCUAUUGCAGCGUUGCUUGAAAAAUUUUUAUAGCUCACCAUGAUUCUUCAACCGAGAAGCUAUUGCAGGGUUGCUUGCAAAAGAUGAAUGGUAAGGAACGGCUUGGGAAUCGUACAUGAGCUCACCAUGAUUCUUCAACCGCAGCUAUUGCAGGGUUGCAACCGGGAAGCUAUUGCAGGGUUGCUUGAAAAGUUUUCAUAGCUCACCAUGAUUCUUCAACCGGGAAGCUAUUGCAGGGUUGCUUUCAAAGGAUGAAUGGAAAGGAACGGCCUGGGAAUCGUACAUGAAAAGACGGGCUUGGUCCAACCCGUUAAGACUCAAUCUGGCUGGUCCAGGCCAGGGUCGGCCCAUUAAGAAGUCUCCCUUUUUUUUCCUUUUCUGUUAUAUCUCUUGGCAGUAAGUCAAAAAAAAAAGAAGCUAAAAUACCUUUAGAGAG